UGUUCAGAGGGAGGUUCUACUGCUGUGUGGGUGAGGACGUAAGAAACAUCACCAACAAGACUGAAUGCCUGGCGGCCAGCUACCUCUGGGUACGAAAGACUUACAACUUUUACAACCUGCUUCAGGCUCUGACGAGCUUGUUUGUAAUGUUCUCUAAAGAUGGCUGGAUGAACAUCAUGUAUGAUGGGCUGGAUGCUGUGGGAGUGGACCAACAGUGUAAUGGUGGAGACCUUCCACCAGUGUCAGCAGAAUCAAAAAAAAAAGAGAUGGAGAGUUACUUGAAGAGGGAGGAAAAGUCCAGUGCAACAGUAAGGAGAAUGAAGGGGCUUGUUGGCAGUCUAUUUAUCUGAGCAU
Long non-coding RNA from Micropterus salmoides (largemouth bass), 354 nucleotides. RefSeq lists it as uncharacterized. NCBI's taxonomy places the organism in Eukaryota, Metazoa, Chordata, Actinopteri, Centrarchiformes, Centrarchidae. The transcript is spliced from 3 exons. The record is from RefSeq and is a predicted model, not a curated record.